RNAcentral lists this ribosomal RNA (797 nucleotides) under Flavobacterium sp. Its description in RNAcentral is "bacterial SSU rRNA". It matches the Rfam family "Bacterial small subunit ribosomal RNA", at positions 57 to 868 of the family's 1533-position model. The record is from RNAcentral. Lineage: Bacteria; Pseudomonadati; Bacteroidota; Flavobacteriia; Flavobacteriales; Flavobacteriaceae.
GCAGUCGAGGGGUAGGGGCUUUCGGGCCUUGAGACCGAGCGCACGGAUGCGUGACGCGAUGCGUCUGCCUUUCAAGAGGGAUAGCCCAGAGAAAUUUGGAUUAAUACCUCAGAGCAUUACCGGAUGGCAUCAUCCUGCAAUUAAAGUCACAACGGUGAAAGAUGAGCAUGCGUCCCAUUAGCUAGUUGGUAAGGUAACGGCUUACCAAGGCGACCAUGGGGAGGGGUCCUGAAAGGGAGAUCCCCCACACUGGUACUGAGACACGGACCAGACUCCUACGGGAGGCAGCAGUGAGGAAUAUUGGUCAAUGGACGCAAGUCUGAACCAGCCAUGCCGCGUGCAGGAUGACGGUCCUAUGGAUUGUAAACUGCUUUUGCACAGGAAGAAACACUCCGACGUGUCGGAGCUUGACGGUGCUGUGAGAAUAAGGAUCGGCUAACUCCGUGCCAGCAGCCGCGGUAAUACGGAGGAUCCAAGCGUUAUCCGGAAUCAUUGGGUUUGAAGGGUCCGUAGGCGGUCUUGUAAGUCAGUGAUGAAAGCCCAUCGCUCAACGGUGGAACGGCCAUUGAUACUGCAAGACUUGAAUUAUUGGGAAGUAACUAGAAUAUGUAGUGUAGCGGUGAAAUGCUUAUAGAUUACAUGGAAUACCAAUUGCGAAGGCGGUUACUACCAAUUUAUUGACGCUGAUGGACNANAGCGUGAGUAGCGAACAGGAUUAGAUACCCUGGUAGUCCACGCCGAAACCAUGGAUANNAGCUGUUGGGAGCGAUCUCACUGGCANGCGAAAUGAUCAUAUC